Non-coding RNA from Oryza glumipatula, 217 nucleotides. The record is from Rfam. Lineage: Eukaryota; Viridiplantae; Streptophyta; Magnoliopsida; Poales; Poaceae.
AAUAAGUGCAGUUUUGUACUGUCAAUGUCCAACGUUUAAUCAUUCAUCUUAUUUGAAAUUUUUUUAUAAUUCAUAUUAUUAUUAUUAUUAUUAUUAUUAGAUGAUAAAACAUGAAUUAUAUUUUUUGUGUGACUAAUUUUUUAAAAAUUUAAAUAUUUUUUAAAUAAGACGGACGGUUAAACGUUGGAUACAAAUAAUACUCACGGCUGCAUGUAUU